This 717-nucleotide long non-coding RNA is filed under the name Arabidopsis lyrata. RNAcentral's name for it is "long non-coding RNA (ALYR_LNC000405)". The record is from RNAcentral. Lineage: Eukaryota; Viridiplantae; Streptophyta; Magnoliopsida; Brassicales; Brassicaceae.
GGUAAAAUAUUACGCUCCAGGUUAUCUUUGAAGAGUGAAGACACUAUUAUCUCCUUAUAUUUCUUCUUUAUCGACUUCCCACUAAUGUUUUUGACCACGUGUAGACAAAUGUGAAAUACCCUGACUUCAAGCAUAAAGAGACUGGUGAAGCACUGUGGAUGACCAAUUCUCCUAUUUGGGUACUGUCAAAGUUACCACCUCUAAAGAAGAACCAAGAAAGACCUCUCAUGUCCAAUACAGUCCCGCAGCUUGAGCUUGACGUUGUAGUACCUAAUGGAAAUCUGACACAGCUUAAAAGUAAGUUCCUCUUUUAGCAAGUAUUAGGCCGGUAUGUGGCAUUUGUAAUGGUCUCGUUUUUCUAAAGCGAGCUGUUAUGAGAUGUAGGAGAGGAAUCUUGGAAGAACUUGGUUGAGAACCCGAGUAAAUGGUGGGAUAACAGAUUAGACAAGGUACCAUAUCAUCUUUGAAGACACUAUUCUCUUUCCAUUUCUCCUCUUAAGUUCAAUUUCGAAUUUCCCAAUGAUGUUUUUGAACCAUGUGUAGAGAAACCCGAAAGCCCCUGACUUCAAGCAUAAGGAGACCGGUGAAGUACUGUGGAUAAAUAACAAUUCUCCGACUUGGGCACUGUCAAAGUUACCACCUCUAAAGAAGAACCAAGAAAGACCUGUCAUGGCCUAGUUUGUCUCUCGUAGCCUUAUGUUGAUUUUUGCCACCCAC